Molecule: long non-coding RNA, 1476 nt
Organism: Musa acuminata AAA Group (dessert banana)
Lineage: Eukaryota; Viridiplantae; Streptophyta; Magnoliopsida; Zingiberales; Musaceae
Exons: 4
Source: RefSeq, a predicted model, not a curated record
UUCCAAUGUGUGGAUCUGAUUAACCAACAAAGAGAUCAAAAAGCAUUUGUACAAACUAUCUGCAUCCCCUUUAGCUCAUCAUCUACUCGUGAACACACAGGGAUCCGACCGAUACUUCCAUCAGGUAUGACAUGUAUCAAAGACCUUUUCUUUCCUCCUCUUUCGAGUGAUUGUUCUCCAACCGUAAGCACAUUAGUAGUAGGACGAUAGCAUUGCUUCCAUCGGUAGUCGUCCUCCGUUCGUUUGGAAGAACGCAAUGAUCCCGUCGUAGACGACAUGCUUCGCAUUUGCCCCCAUCACCAAGUCCGCACGGGCAUAGUCCUUCACAAACUGAACAGCGAGCUUGUCGCUAUCGUGGUUCUUGAUAGCAUCCGACAGAGGCAUCACAUCCUCGCCGUAGCUGAGCAGCGGCGGCAGGUCGCGCGGUAUGUUCGACUUGUUGUGCACCGGCGGACUGCCUUGCCCGUGGUAAGCCAUGUUCGUUUCGUAGUUGUACUUGGUCAGCACUCCCAUCUCCGAACGCUGUGAGUCACAACACUGGGAACUCGUGGUGUAUGACAAAAUGCGGCACCGGAUUUUCUACCAUCUGUGACCAGUCGGCAAAUCAUGGAUGACCAACUCAUCCCAAGACCACGCCCAGUAAGCCCGCUCGGAGAUGCCAGAAAUGAGAAUAUGAUGCUACGAGCAGCAGCAACAACAACGACUCAGAUGCCAACCAGAACAAUCUGCUGCAGUAAGUUCUUGGUCACAAGAGGAGCUUAUCAGAAAUGUAGAGAAGAUGACAAGCCGGGUCUGACGGAUCAAGAAGAUGCAUGGCGACGGCUCCACCAAGUGCCUCUGGUGUUGGCAAUCCACACGUCGAAAUCAUUGUCUGCUAAUAUGAAUGCCAAUGAUUCUUGAGGAUACAAGUAAGUUGGAUACAUGAAGAUAUGAUAUCUGAUUGCAUCCAUCAAGACAACUAGUCAUUGCUGUUAGAGCAUCCAUGCACGAGAAGUGGAGAUGCAUGCAUGAACGAGACUGAUGACUGCAUGAACUUACCAUGAGCACUCCACGCUGCAGCAGCACAGGCUGCCUCCUCUUCAGCUGGCCACCUCCCCCUGCUCUUCCUCUACCCUGCUGAAUCCUAUGCUGGAUUAGCAUAUCUCGUUCAAAGACAGCGACGGGCUUCAGAGGUGCUGCAUCCUCUCUACCCAUCAACUAUGGAUGCGCUUCACUGCUGCCUCGAAUUCUCAGCACUUGUAGCCCAGCGGGGUUCACGAUGGAAGCGCACACGCCAUCGAUCUCGGGAUCCUCGCCAUUGAUGGAGAGGAGAAAGAAGGUGAUGACAAGAGGCCAAUUCCAGCAAUGGAAUUGCAUGUUGGAGGCUGUCAUAUGAAGGGAGAGGAGACGUAAGAUGGAGAAAUAUAUAGGAAGGUUUUGUCUAUGUGAUGAUAGCCAUCACAAUUCCAGCCCAUAUCCUCAUGGCCAUUUCACGUC